CUGCCACUGGAUAAAAUGAGGUAUAUUGAAUAAGGACACAAAUGUUGCCUUUCAACAGGCCAUUUAUGGACCUCUCAAAAAGUUUUUCAAGGGUUCGUAAAGUACACGAGACAUUGGAUCGUAUAUUCCCAUUCGUCCUUUGUCGAUAUUUUAUGUAUACUUCUUAAUAUAAGUCAGACCGUACGCGUACGGUCCGACCGUAUGAGUAUUUUGAAAAAGUACGCAUACGGCCCAGACCGUAUACGUACGGUCCAAAUACUCAUACGGUCUGGAACAUAAUCACUGACUAAUACUUUAGAUACACAUGAUUUACCUCUUAGUUUUAAUUCGCUUUGAAAUAACUAUCAGUUACUUCAAUUACUCCUUUGUCGAUAUUUUAUGUAUAUGGUUUUUGUGCCUUGUACCGACAUUUUGAGUUGAGCCAAUUGCAACUGUACAGGUUUUUUUAUGUUUUUUUUUAUAAGUUGUGCUGUUACACCAGUGUCCCAGGUUAAGGAGAGGGUUGGGGGCUCACAUGUUUAAUCCCGCCGCAUUUUUUUUCGUGUCGGUCCUACGUCAUGGGCCUGUAUAACAUAGGUUAUAUAGAUCUGUCAUAUUUUUUUUUCUUUGAUAAAUAAUCCAUAAGUUAUAAAUAAAUAACCGUUAGUUUUCUCGUUUUUAUUUUUUCACAUUUUUUUUUAUAUUGGUGUCUUUUAUAGCCGACUAUAUGGUAUAGGUUUUCCUCACUGUUAAAUGUUGUACAUUGGACUAUAAUAAUUGCUUUAUUCACCCACUUCAUUUAAACUUUGGUGGAAAGUUGUAUCACUGGCCAUCACACCACAUCUAAAAAGCUUUAUGUGUAAAAAAAAAAAAGUAAAAAAAACCCACCCAUAGAUAAAGCAGUUGGAAUGCAAUCUAAGGCAUUCGGCAAACUAAGUUCAACGAGCUCCUAUGUCUGCUUUCGUCUAUGCGAAUUUGGAC
RNAcentral lists this long non-coding RNA (960 nucleotides) under Mytilus galloprovincialis (Mediterranean mussel). The record is from RNAcentral. Lineage: Eukaryota; Metazoa; Mollusca; Bivalvia; Mytilida; Mytilidae.